UACGUAGGCGGCAAGCGUUGUCCGGAUUUAUUGGGUUUAAAGGGUGCGUAGGCGGUCCUUUAAGUCAGUGCUGAAAUACUCUAGCUUAACUAGAGGGGUGGCAUUGAUACUGGAGGACUUGAAUGAAGUCGAGGUAGGCGGAAUUGACGGUGUAGCGGUGAAAUGCUUAGAUAUCGUCAAGAACACCGAUAGUGAAGACAGCUUACUAGGCUUAGAUUGACGCUGAGGCACGAAAGUGUGGGGAUCAAACAGG
Molecule: ribosomal RNA, 253 nt
Filed under: uncultured bacterium
Lineage: Bacteria
Description: partial 16S ribosomal RNA
Rfam family: Bacterial small subunit ribosomal RNA
Source: RNAcentral